This is a transfer RNA of Toxocara canis (dog roundworm), 71 nucleotides long. It matches the Rfam family "tRNA". From Rfam's summary of the family: Transfer RNA (tRNA) molecules are approximately 80 nucleotides in length. Their secondary structure includes four short double-helical elements and three loops (D, anti-codon, and T loops). NCBI's taxonomy places the organism in Eukaryota, Metazoa, Nematoda, Chromadorea, Rhabditida, Toxocaridae. The record is from Rfam.
GUGGCAGUAGCUCAGUGGUAGAGCCUCGCUUCGUAUGAGGGGAGACCUAGGUUCGAUUCCCAGCUGCUUCC